CAGUCGCCGCGGUAAUACGUAGGUGGCAAGCGUUGUCCGGAUUAACUGGGCGUAAAGGGCGCGUAGGCGGGUCUUUAAGUCAGGGGUGAAAUCCCAAGGCUCAACCUUGGAACUGCCUUUGAUACUGGAAGUCUUGAGUCCGGGAGAGGUGAGUGGAACUGCGAGUGUAGAGGUGAAAUUCGUAGAUAUUCGCAAGAACACCAAUGGCGAAGGCGGCCCACUGGCCCGGUACUGACGCUGAGGCGCGAAAGCGUGGGGAGCAAACAGGAUUAGAUACCCCAGUAGUCCCUGUCUCUUAUAC
Molecule: ribosomal RNA, 301 nt
Filed under: uncultured bacterium
Lineage: Bacteria
Description: partial 16S ribosomal RNA
Rfam family: Bacterial small subunit ribosomal RNA
Source: RNAcentral